RNAcentral lists this long non-coding RNA (832 nucleotides) under Marmota monax (woodchuck). Lineage: Eukaryota; Metazoa; Chordata; Mammalia; Rodentia; Sciuridae. The record is from RNAcentral.
AUGUGUUUUAAUUUCAUGUAACUUAUUAUUUUACAUCAAAUAUCCUUUUAGGUUAGCUUUCCAUUUUUAAUUUGGAAUAUACUUCUAAAAAGUUAUUGCUCAAAAUAGAAGUGGUGGCCGUCACAAUUCAACCUGCUUAUUCCAUCUUGAUCCUUAAUUUAUCAAGUUAUUAAAUAUUCUUCUUUCUAUAGAUAUCUGCCAAGAUAUCAGCUCAACCAUAUUUUGUGACCUCUAAUUUAAUAAUGAAUGUAAGUUUCUCCUUAAAUCAAAGUUGUUGAAGAUAAUUUGAAUUGUCCAAUUACAGAAUGGAAAAGUAAAGUAGAUCAGUAGAAAACAGCUUUUCCAUUUUCAUAUUAUUAAACAAAUACCAUUAGCCUUUUCAGCAUUCCAAGCAAUCUACAUGCCAAGGACAAUGUUUUCCCUUUCUUUGUACACUUCAGAAGCACAAUCUCCAACAGCAUCGCUUGUUGAUUUAAUCAAUGGUUUCAUGUAUUUUAUGGCAUAGUCCUCUAUCACCUUAGCUUUCUUUGUACAAACACAUUUCUUUUCAUGUAAAGGACAAAAGCAAAUUACUUCAUUUUAAUCCCAGCAGAGGUAAAAUGCAGAGACCUGGAUAAACAAAGAGCCUCCUUCCCCAAGACCCUAUAGACUGGCCCCUCACCAGGCUGUCUUCACCCGUAUGGCUGCACUCCUUCCGUGAGCAAAGUGUCUCAUCUGCUUUGAUUCUAAUCACAGCACUGUUAUCUAAAUAUAAUUCUAAGUGAAUUCAUGCUUUCAAGCAUGCAAGAAAGGAAUCAAAAUCCACAAGCUGUGGGCUUUUGCUGAAACUUCA